RNAcentral lists this ribosomal RNA (468 nucleotides) under uncultured bacterium. Its description in RNAcentral is "partial 16S ribosomal RNA". It matches the Rfam family "Bacterial small subunit ribosomal RNA", at positions 28 to 507 of the family's 1533-position model. The record is from RNAcentral.
GACGAACGCUGGCGGCGUGCUUAACACAUGCAAGUCGAACGGAAAGGCCCUGCUUUUGUGGGUUGCUCGAGUGGCGAACGGGUGAGUAACACGUGAGUAACCUCCCCUUGACUUUGGGAUAACUUCAGGAAACUGGGGCUAAUACCGGAUAGGAGCUCCUGCUGCAUGGUGGGGGUUGGAAAGUUUCGGCGGUUGGGGAUGGACUCGCGGCUUAUCAGCUUGUUGGUGGGGUAGUGGCUUACCAAGGCUUUGACGGGUAGCCGGCCUGAGAGGGUGGCCGGCCACAUUGGGACUGAGAUACGGCCCAGACUCCUACGGGAGGCAGCAGUGGGGAAUAUUGCACAAUGGGCGGAAGCCUGAUGCAGCAACGCCGCGUGCGGGAUGACGGCCUUCGGGUUGUAAACCGCUUUCGCCUGUGACGAAGCGUGAGUGACGGUAAUGGGUAAAGAAGCACCGGCUAACUACGUG